This 521-nucleotide ribosomal RNA is filed under the name Colletotrichum coccodes. Its description in RNAcentral is "eukaryotic LSU rRNA". The stretch from base 140 to 293 matches the Rfam family "5.8S ribosomal RNA". Lineage: Eukaryota; Fungi; Ascomycota; Sordariomycetes; Glomerellales; Glomerellaceae. The record is from RNAcentral.
AACCCAUGUGAACAUACCUACUGUUGCUUCGGCGGGAUUGCCCCGGGCGCCUCGUGUGCCCCGGAUCAGGCGCCCGCCUAGGAAACUCAACUCUUGUUUUAUUUUGGAAUCUUCUGAGUAGUUUUUACAAAUAAAUAAAAACUUUCAACAACGGAUCUCUUGGUUCUGGCAUCGAUGAAGAACGCAGCGAAAUGCGAUAAGUAAUGUGAAUUGCAGAAUUCAGUGAAUCAUCGAAUCUUUGAACGCACAUUGCGCCCGCCAGUAUUCUGGCGGGCAUGCCUGUCUGAGCGUCAUUUCAACCCUCAUGCCCCUAGGGCGUGGUGUUGGGGAUCGGCCAAAGCCCGCGAGGGACGGCCGGCCCCUAAAUCUAGUGGCGGACCCGUCGUGGCCUCCUCUGCGAAGUAGUGAUAUUCCGCAUCGGAGAGCGACGAGCCCCUGCCGUUAAACCCCCAACUUUCCAAGGUUGACCUCAGAUCAGGUAGGAAUACCCGCUGAACUUAAGCAUAUCAAUAAGCGGAGGA